RNAcentral lists this ribosomal RNA (424 nucleotides) under uncultured bacterium. RNAcentral's name for it is "bacterial SSU rRNA". It matches the Rfam family "Bacterial small subunit ribosomal RNA", at positions 354 to 776 of the family's 1533-position model. The record is from RNAcentral.
GUGGGGAAUAUUGCGCAAUGGGCGGAAGCCUGACGCAGCGACGCCGCGUGGGGGAUGAAGGCCUUCGGGUUGUAAACCUCUUUUACCACUCACGAAGGCCCCUGGUUUUCUGGGGGUUGACGGUAGGUGGUGAAUAAGGACCGGCUAACUACGUGCCAGCAGCCGCGGUAAUACGUAGGGUCCGAGCGUUGUCCGGAAUUAUUGGGCGUAAAGAGCUCGUAGGCGGCCUGUCGCGUCUGCUGUGAAAGUCCGGGGCUUAACUCCGGGUGUGCAGUGGAUACGGGCAGGCUUGAGGUAGGUAGGGGAGACUGGAAUUCCUGGUGUAGCGGUGAAAUGCGCAGAUAUCAGGAGGAACACCGGUGGCGAAGGCGGGUCUCUGGGCCUUACCUGACGCUGAGGAGCGAAAGCGUGGGGAGCGAACAGG